UAUCUUCAGGGGGAGGUGCAAGUCCUCACCGGCGGUAUAGCCCGCGAGCCAUUUUGGUUGACUUGGUUAGAUUCCAAGGCCGACAGUUACAGUCUGGAUGAAAGAAGAUG
This 110-nucleotide non-coding RNA is filed under the name human gut metagenome. RNAcentral's name for it is "FMN riboswitch (RFN element)". It matches the Rfam family "FMN riboswitch aptamer (RFN element)". Rfam says of the family: The RFN element is a highly conserved domain that is found frequently in the 5'-untranslated regions of prokaryotic mRNAs that encode for flavin mononucleotide (FMN) biosynthesis and transport proteins. This element is a metabolite-dependent riboswitch that directly binds FMN in the absence of proteins. In Bacillus subtilis, the riboswitch most likely controls gene expression by causing premature transcription termination within the 5' untranslated region of the ribDEAHT operon and precluding access to the ribosome-binding site of ypaA mRNA. The record is from RNAcentral.